RNAcentral lists this non-coding RNA (45 nucleotides) under Schistosoma haematobium. The record is from RNAcentral. Lineage: Eukaryota; Metazoa; Platyhelminthes; Trematoda; Strigeidida; Schistosomatidae.
GUCCAGCUGACGAGUCCCAAAUAGGAUGAAACGCGCUUCCUGGAU